Molecule: ribosomal RNA, 507 nt
Filed under: uncultured bacterium
Lineage: Bacteria
Description: bacterial SSU rRNA
Rfam family: Bacterial small subunit ribosomal RNA
Source: RNAcentral
UAGUCCACGCCGUAAACGAUGGAUACUAGGUGUCCGGGAUAUUAACCUCCUGGGUACUACAGUCAACGCGUUAAGUAUCCCGCCUGGGGAGUACGGUCGCAAGGCUAAAACUCAAAGGAAUUGACGGGGGCCCGCACAAGCGGUGGAGUAUGUGGUUUAAUUCGAUGCAACGCGAAGAACCUUACCUACCCUUGACAUCAUCAGAACUUGUCGGAGAUGACUCGGUGCCUUCGGGAACUGAUUGACAGGUGCUGCAUGGCUGUCGUCAGCUUGUGUCGUGAGAUGUUGGGUUAAGUCCCGUAACGAGCGCAACCCCUAUUUUCAGUUGCCAGCAUGUAAUGAUGGGGACUCUGGAAGACUGCCUACGCAAGUAGAGAGGAAGGCGGGGACGACGUCAAAUCAUCAUGGCCUUUAAUGCCUAGGGCUACACACGUGCUACAAUGGCAGGUACAAAGGGUAGCGAAGCCGCGAGGUGGAGCCAAUCUCAUAAAGCCUGUCCCAGUUCGG